RNAcentral lists this long non-coding RNA (1204 nucleotides) under Pan troglodytes (chimpanzee). Its description in RNAcentral is "long non-coding RNA NONPTRT003488". Lineage: Eukaryota; Metazoa; Chordata; Mammalia; Primates; Hominidae. The record is from RNAcentral.
AGUCACGUGGGAAAGGCUACUCGGCAAACUUCAGCCAUCACUUGAUGUUAGCCUCUCUGACAUGACAAAGACAAAAUUUGAGAUUUGUUUGUUUGUUUAAGCUAACACUUGCGAAGUACUUAACAUAUGCCAGGCAUGGUUCUAAGUGCUUCCUUUACAAGUUCAGACUUAACUAAAUCUUCAUGAGUUAUUAUUUAUCUUUCACAUUAAUGAAAUUAAAGCACACAGCUAGUAAAAAGCAGAAGCAGAAAUGAAACCAAACAGUCUGGAUCCAGAGUCCAUCAUACCCAGACUGCUUUGCUGUAGGUACUGCCCUACAGCACAACAGGUCCCUCUGAACAGUAUGUUUGCCAAUAUUCCCAUUUAGUGUAUAAUGCCCCAGGUUACAGCCUUUGGCAAAUAAAUGGUGUUGUCCUUGAUGCCAGAUAUCAUACCUAAAUUUUUAAAAAUUUACUGUAGAGCAAAAUAAAAUCAAAAGAGCAUACUAGGAUGCAAUAUUCUCAAGUAAGACCAGCUAAGAAGGCUUCCAUUGUAUUCAGCAGAAAACAAUUUCUGCAGACAAAUUUAAAAUAUUUGAAAGCAAAAUGAAAUGUUCACCUUUAGCUCUCCACCUUCUAGGGCCAAGUGAUGCAAAAAUUCCAUAUUCCUAACAAUAAUAUGAAUUAUCAAGGAAAACAUUCAUCAUCUUUUCUCUUUAACUCUUUUUUGUAAAUUUAAGUUACAAAGCAAAAAAUUUCAAAUCUUGGUUUUUUAAACAAGGGAGGGAGCCUUUUAACCAGGACUUACUUGUGAAAUUUAUGCUUCAGAAUCACAAUGACUAUCACUGCAGCUUCAUUAAUAAGAAGAAACUAGAAUACUACUUCUUAGAUAUAUAUUUUCCUAAUGUUUCUAAAUGAAAUUUCCGGGACAAAGGAACCUAAUGAUCAUUAAACCAGUACUUCAGAUGAACUUCUAAUCAUUGUCAAAGGCAAGUCUGUGUGAAAAUACAUAUAUGUGCCUAUAAAUAUGUAUGUUUCAUAUGGUUAUAAUGGAUAUCCUCUAACAUGAAACAUACUGCAAAUUAUAGUCGACUUAGAAUCAACUUUAUGAAGUAACUAGGAAUGACUAGUUAAUUAACUAACUCUGGCUUCCCCAAAAUUCUGAAAGUAGAUUUUUAGCCUAAUGGGUUAAAAACGUAAGUACUAGGUACUUACUGAGAGCACAU